UACGAGUGCUCCAAGCGUUAUCCGGAAUCAUUGGGCGUAAAGGGUGUGUAGGUGGUAAUGUUAGUCUUCUGUUAAAUUCUUCGGCUCAACCGGGGGCAUGCAGGGGAAACGGCAUUUACUAGAGGAUGCGAGAGGCACAUGGAACUCAUGGAGUAGGGGUGAAAUCCGUUGAUAUCAUGGGGAACACCGAAAGCGAAGGCAAUGUGCUGGCGCACUCCUGACACUGAGACACGAAAGCGUAGGUAGCGAAUGGG
This 254-nucleotide ribosomal RNA is filed under the name uncultured bacterium. Its description in RNAcentral is "partial 16S ribosomal RNA". It matches the Rfam family "Bacterial small subunit ribosomal RNA", at positions 524 to 776 of the family's 1533-position model. The record is from RNAcentral.